RNAcentral lists this long non-coding RNA (2128 nucleotides) under Sus scrofa (pig). RNAcentral's name for it is "lncRNA (ENSSSCG00005001943.1)". Lineage: Eukaryota; Metazoa; Chordata; Mammalia; Artiodactyla; Suidae. The record is from RNAcentral.
ACUCCAAAACAAAGAAAUUCAGCUUUCAACUCAAUAACCUGUCAAGACAAUGCCAGGAAAAACCCAGGGCGAGUAGAAGAAACUGAUGGCAACCGAAGGCGAAAUUAAUGUCCCGGGGACAAAGAGAAGGACGGACGAGGUCUUCCAGAUGAAAAGGCAGCUCUUGGGAGCAGCAAGAAAACUGACACACCUCCGGUGAGAUGAAUUUCUUAAAAAAGGCAAAAACAAGUUUCGGAAGGAAAGGGGGACCUCGGUAUUAGAUAGAGAAGAGAUCUGAGAAGUGAGCAAAUAUCUCAGCCUUGGUCAGUUCACCAAGAAACGGAGCCUGCUACCCACACGGAUGCUGGGGUGGAGACGGGUCUACGACGACCACCCUGUGGUUCACACCUUGGUGUGACCUGCACCCUGAGGGUGGGCUGGACCCCGUGACUGACUUCCAACAAAAAGAGAAGGACAAACGUGACGGAGGGGGGCCUCCGAGAUGAGGUUCACAGCACUGGACUGCUUGCUGCCCCCUCCUUUCCUCUCUCUCUCUCUGACGGACAAGUUUCCAUCCGCUGGGGAGCCCUCAGAACGAUACCUGGCAAGGACCUAAAUCCUGACAACCCGUGAGUGAACUUGAAGAGGGAGCUGGCCCUGUCGAGCCUUCAGAUAAAACCACAGCCCCAGGCAACACUUUGGUCACAGCUUGUGAGGGACGUCAGGUCUGAGGACCCAGCUAAGCCGCUGGAUUCCUGGACCACAAAACAGUGAGAUGGCAAGAGUUGGGGUCCUUUGUUACACAGCAACAGGUGACUAACAUAGAUCACUCCCUAGAAAAGUAACACCAAAUCCUAUUCAACAAGGAUUGGAAAAGCUGAACAGAUCUGCCACCAUUAAAGAAAUUGGCCAGAACAUACAAAUCUGUCUACACAAAUGCCAGGUCUAGACCAAGAAGGUACCUAAGAAACACAUAACCUCAAUCUUCCAUAAGUUCUUUUAUACAACAGAAAAAGGCAAGAUCGCCCACUCAGGUGAUGCCACGGGUAUAAGCCACACCAAAUCUGGACAGGACAGUACCAUAAAGGACAACCGCAAUCCACACACACUUCUGAAUACAGGUGCGAAAAAUCCUAAACAAAACAGUAACAAACCGGAGUUCCCAUCGUGGCUCAGUGGUUAACGAAUCCGACUAGGAACCAUGAGGUUUCGGGUUCGGUCCCUGCCCUUGCUCAGUGGGUUAACGAUCUGGAGUUGCCGUGAGCUGUGGUGUAGAUUGCAGACGCGGCUUGGAUCCCGCGUUGCUGUGGCUCUGGCGUAGGCCGGUGGCUACAGAUCCGAUUCGACCCCUAGCCUGGGGAACCUCCACAUGCCGCAAGAAAUAGCAACAACAACAACAACAAAAGACAAAAAAAAAAAAAAAAAAAAAAAAAAAAAAAAACAGUAACAAACCAAAUAUGAAUGCAAUAAAAAAUACCACAUAGCCGGGAUGGGAUAUUUCCAAAAAAGCAAGAAAAUCGCUCAUGUACUUCACCAAAGUGACUGAUAAGAGGAGAAAAUCUUACAUAAUUAGCUCAAUACAUGCAGAAAAAGUCUUUGAUGAAACAUCUUCAGUAAAAUAUUCAUAUAAAUAAGAACUUUCUUAACCUGAAAGGGGGCAUUUACAGAAAAAUAAGCAUGGAGUUCCCGUCAUUGCUCAGUGGUUAAUGAAUCUGACUAGGAACCGUGAGGUUGUGGGUUCGAUCCCUGGCCUUGCUCAGUGGGUUAAGGAUCCAGCGUUGCCGUGAGCUGUGGUGUAGGUUGCAGACGCGGCUCGGAUCCGGCGUUGCUGUGGCUCUGGCGUAGGCCGGUGGCUACGGCUCCAAUUGGACCCCGAGCCCGGGAACCUCCAUAUGCCGCGGAAGCGGCCCAAGAGAUAGCAACAACAACAAAAGACAAAAAAACUAAAAAAAAAAAAAAAAAAAUUUUAGGCUUCCCCUCUGCCCCCACCCCCAAAAGAGCUUUUUACGGAGCUCCCUGCUGGCGCAGCAGUGAGAGAUCCAGCUUCGUCACUGCUGAGGUUCUGGCCACUGCUGCGGUUCCGGUUUGAUCCCUGGCCCUGGAACUUCCACAUGCUGUGGGCACGGCCAAAAAAAAAAAAAAAAAAAAA